CCUACGGGAGGCAGCAGUGGGGGAUAUUGCACAAUGGGGGGAACCCUGAUGCAGCGACGCCGCGUGGGUGAAGAAGUAUUUCGGUAUGUAAAGCCCUAUCGGCAGGGAAGAAAUUGGACGGUACCUGACUAAGAAGCCCUGGCUAACUACGGGCCAGCAGCCGCGGUAAUACGUAGGGGGCAAGCGUUAUCCGGAUUCACUGGGGGUAAAGGGAGCGUAAACGGCCAUGCAAGCCUGGAGGGAAAGCCCGGGGCCCAACCCCGGGACUUCUCUGGGAACUCUGCGGCUGGUGCGCGGGAGGGGCA
Molecule: ribosomal RNA, 305 nt
Filed under: uncultured bacterium
Lineage: Bacteria
Description: bacterial SSU rRNA
Rfam family: Bacterial small subunit ribosomal RNA
Source: RNAcentral